UCCCCGUUAUCCGGGGCGGUUUCGCUAGAGUGCCCAGCUUGACCUGAUGGUAACUAACGAUAAGGGUUGCGCUCGUUGCGGGACUUAACCCAACAUCUCACGACACGAGCUGACGACAGCCAUGCAGCACCUGUGUCCAGGUUCCCUUUCGGGCACACCCCCAUCUCUGGAGGCUUCCUGGCAUGUCAAGGGUAGGUAAGGUUUUUCGCGUUGCAUCGAAUUAAUCCACAUAAUCCACCGCUUGUGCGGGUCCCCGUCAAUUCCUUUGAGUUUUAACCUUGCGGCCGUACUCCCCAGGCGGAGAACUUAAUGCGUUGGCUACGGCACCGCAGGGGUCAACACCCACGACACCUAGUUCUCAUCGUUUACGGCGUGGACUAC
This 381-nucleotide unclassified non-coding RNA is filed under the name uncultured Pseudomonadota bacterium. Its description in RNAcentral is "uncultured proteobacterium contains 16S-23S intergenic spacer region". Lineage: Bacteria; Pseudomonadati; Pseudomonadota. The record is from RNAcentral.